This 1225-nucleotide long non-coding RNA is filed under the name Physcomitrium patens. Its description in RNAcentral is "long non-coding RNA (PPAT_LNC008944)". The record is from RNAcentral. Lineage: Eukaryota; Viridiplantae; Streptophyta; Bryopsida; Funariales; Funariaceae.
AUUUACAAAGUGCAAUCCUCAUAAAAACCCAAAACCUUUUGAUUGUUCACGCGUUUGCAUAGGAUACAGCAAGCAUGAGCUUAGGGUCAAGCCUAUUGUCUGGCUUCCGAGUAUCACCUCGAGCACUAUACUCGUAACACAGAAAGCCAUCGUAACAUUCUCGGAACCAAAAUAAGAGAACCACAGGAUUACCUACCAUCCGCGGCUCCUUGCUCUUCUCGGAACCAAAAUAAGAGAAAACCACAGGAUUACCUACCAUCCGCGGCUCCUUGCUCUCACGUUGCUUGCAUGCGGCACAGAGGUGUCACGGCGUGUAUGUUAGCGCAGCGGCUCCUCGCUCUCACGUUGCUUGCAUGCGGCACAGAGAUGUCACGGCGUGUAUGUUAGCGCAGCGGCUCCUCGCUCUCACGUUGCUUGCAUGCGGCACAGAGAUGUCACGGCGUGUAUGUUAGCGCAGCGGCUCCUCGCUCUCACGUUGCUUGCAUGCGGCACAGAGAUGUCACGGCGUGUAUGUUAGCGCAGCGGCUCCUCGCUCUCACGUUGCUUGCAUGCGGCACAGAGAUGUCACGGCGUGUAUGUUAGCGCAGCGGCUCCUCGCUCUCACGUUGCUUGCAUGCGGCACAGAGAUGUCACGGCGUGUAUGUUAGCGCAGCGGCUCCUCGCUCUCACGUUGCUUGCAUGCGGCACAGAGAUGUCACGGCGUGUAUGUUAGCGCAGCGGCUCCUCGCUCUCACGUUGCUUGCAUGCGGCACAGAGAUGUCACGGCGUGUAUGUUAGCGCAGCGGCUCCUCGCUCUCACGUUGCUUGCAUGCGGCACAGAGAUGUCACGGCGUGUAUGUUAGCGCAGCGGCUCCUCGCUCUCACGUUGCUUGCAUGCGGCACAGAGAUGUCACGGCGUGUAUGUUAGCGCAGCGGUUCCUCGCUCUCACGUUGCUUGCAUGCGGCACAGAGGUGUCACGGCGUGUAUGUUAGCGCAGCGGCUCCUCGCUCUCACGUUGCUUGCAUGCGGCACAGAGAUGUCACGGCGUGUAUGUUAGCGCAGCGGCUCCUCGCUCUCACGUUGCUUGCAUGCGGCACAGAGCCCUCAUGUUAGCGCAGAUUCGAGCAAUUCGAAGCGAGGAGAGAGCACACAGCUGCGAGGGUUUGGCGGCGAGGGCGAAGGGAAUAAACAGGGGAAGAGUGGGCGAGGAUGUGUGGUGUGCUUGAAACCCUCGACGGAACAGAC